UACGAGGGGGGCAAAUGUUGUUCGGAAUCACUGGGCGUAAAGGGAGCGUAGGCGGGCUUCUAAGUUAGGUGUUUAAUCCCGGGGCCCAACCCCGGUCGUGCACCUAAAACUGGGAGUCUUGAAUAGGGGAGAGGUCAGUGGAAUUGGAGGUGUAGCGGUGGAAUGCGUAGAGAUCUCCAAGAACACCAGUUGCGAAGGCGGCUGACUGGACCCAUAUUGACGCUGAGGCUCGAAAGCAUGGGGAGCAAACAGG
RNAcentral lists this ribosomal RNA (253 nucleotides) under uncultured prokaryote. RNAcentral's name for it is "partial 16S ribosomal RNA". It matches the Rfam family "Bacterial small subunit ribosomal RNA", at positions 524 to 776 of the family's 1533-position model. The record is from RNAcentral.